This 224-nucleotide long non-coding RNA is filed under the name Phoenix dactylifera (date palm). Its description in RNAcentral is "long non-coding RNA (PDAC_LNC007842)". Lineage: Eukaryota; Viridiplantae; Streptophyta; Magnoliopsida; Arecales; Arecaceae. The record is from RNAcentral.
GAGCUCAAAUUAAUGAAGUCCAGGUUCAAAUGAAUCAGCCCAUGUAUGAUAUUCAGCAAGACUUCUUCAUUUAUGGUAGAUUUGGCCUAAGUGUCAUCAACAGCUCUCAUCUUCUACUUGAAUGAUAUUGAUGACUUCUUGUGAAUCUUCUUGUGAAUUGCUCAAGCCCAACUUUAUAGCUGUAGAUCCACUCGAAGCUUGCCUAGCCCAUAUAUUUAGAACAA